GACGAACGCUGGCGGCGUGCUUAACACAUGCAAGUCGAACGGUGAAGCGCCUUCCUUUUUGGUGGGUGUGGAUGAGUGGCGAACGGGUGAGUAACACGUGAGUAACCUGCCCCCUUCUUCUGGAUAACCGCAUGAAAGUGUGGCUAAUACGGGAUAUUCUGGGUCUGUCGCAUGAUGGGUCUGGGAAAGAUAUUGUUUCGGUGGGGGAUGGGCUCGCGGCCUAUCAGCUUGUUGGUGGGGUGAUGGCCUACCAAGGCGGUGACGGGUAGCCGGCCUGAGAGGGUGGACGGUCACACUGGGACUGAGACACGGCCGAGACUCCUACGGGAGGCAGCAGUGGGGAAUAUUGCACAAUGGGCGCAAGCCUGAUGCAGCGACGCCGCGUGAGGGAUGGAGGCCUUCGGGUUGUGAACCUCUUUCGCCAGUGAAGCAGGCCUGCCUCGUUUGUGGGUGGGUUGACGGUAGCUGGAUAAGAAGCGCCGGCUAACUACGUG
This 494-nucleotide ribosomal RNA is filed under the name uncultured bacterium. RNAcentral's name for it is "partial 16S ribosomal RNA". It matches the Rfam family "Bacterial small subunit ribosomal RNA", at positions 28 to 507 of the family's 1533-position model. The record is from RNAcentral.